AUUGAACGCUGGCGGCAGGCCUAACACAUGCAAGUCGAGCGGAUGAAGGGAGCUUGCUCCUGGAUUCAGCGGCGGACGGGUGAGUAAUGCCUAGGAAUCUGCCUGGUAGUGGGGGAUAACGUCCGGAAACGGGCGCUAAUACCGCAUACGUCCUGAGGGAGAAAGUGGGGGAUCUUCGGACCUCACGCUAUCAGAUGAGCCUAGGUCGGAUUAGCUAGUUGGUGGGGUAAAGGCCUACCAAGGCGACGAUCCGUAACUGGUCUGAGAGGAUGAUCAGUCACACGGGGACUGAGGCGAGGUCCAGAGUGCGAGGGGAGGGGGGAGUGGGGUAUAGAGGACUAGGGUGGGACGCGUGUGCCGGCCGGGCUGCGUGUGUGCAGAGGGUUUGAGGAUUGUAGAGUAUUGUGGGGGGGGAGGAGGGGCAUUAUUUUAAUCUUGUGUUUGUUUGACGUCACAAAAAGCAUAAGCAUCGGCUAACUUCGUCACAGCAGCCGCAGAAAUAAUCGGACGCCCCCACGUCUCAAC
Molecule: ribosomal RNA, 525 nt
Filed under: uncultured bacterium
Lineage: Bacteria
Description: partial 16S ribosomal RNA
Rfam family: Bacterial small subunit ribosomal RNA
Source: RNAcentral